RNAcentral lists this long non-coding RNA (1054 nucleotides) under Volvox carteri. RNAcentral describes it as "long non-coding RNA (VCAR_LNC001453)". The record is from RNAcentral. Lineage: Eukaryota; Viridiplantae; Chlorophyta; Chlorophyceae; Chlamydomonadales; Volvocaceae.
UCGGUGUUGUGUGUACGGCGCUGCGUCUCUUACGUACGGACACGUUCUCUCUCUCCUCUCACCCCUGGGUUUGGGCGUUUCCCCCGCCCUCCUCACACCCCACAUGGCGAUGGGUUGUCAUCGUGUAUUGCCGUGACCUUCCCCUUUUUCAUCUUUGACCACCCCCUUCUGCUCAGGGGGGAUGCCCCUUCGCGCCGUGUCCUCCAUCCUCACAUCCCUUUCCCCCGCCAAACCACCCCCUCCCGGUGCGUCUGUGUUUCGUGUGUUUUCCCCUCUGGCGCCGCCCCCGUCAUGGUGGUGAUGGUGGUGGUGAUGAUGAUGUCGUACAGGCCUACGCUGCGAAGCAGUCUCCCCCUCAGUGGCAGGGUUGGACCUGGGCGGUGGUGCUGGGCGUGUGUGGGUAUUCGAUGGUGGUCAUACACCACCAACUGUUUUGGUGAGGUUUCAGGGUUUUCAGGGGGUUUUCAGGGGGGUUAGGGUUUUCAGGGGGGUUAGGGUUUUCAGGGGGGUUAGGGUUUUCAGGGGGGUUAGGGUUUUUAUGUUGAGAAAGGGGGGAAGGAGAGGGUGAUGGGGGGGGGCUCGGGGAAACCGGCCGGAAAGCCGUCAUACCGGCGUAGGACGUGGUACUAUCAUGCCGCCUGCCGUACCGUGGGGUGGGAGUGGGGGUGGGGGUGGGGGUAAUUGGAGUGGAUGGCGGGAAAAGAUCGGGACCGCUCCUGGUUUCUGUUGGGUGGUGGUUGGGAGGUGGUUAGGGGGCAUACCUGCAUACCCAGCGAGAUCAUAGCCUGGAGGUGGCAGUGGGGCCCCCCACGCUUUCGUGGGUUUUACCCCUUCCCCCACCCUCCCACCCCUCAUUUCCCCUCGCUCGCCAGUCCUCAGUAGUCUCGUGCCCCUUCCGUCCCAAACCCGUCUCCCACGCCACCCCCACCUACUGCACCCUCCCAUACCCCCCCACCCCCGCACACCCCAACCCCCGCACACCCUCCCUCAGGAUAGGUAUGCGUGCGGGUUUUCUGAUGCGGCAACAAGCCGUGUCUGCCAUCCAUGCCAAGGU